UGAGGAAUAUUGGUCAAUGGGCGCAAGCCUGAACCAGCCAUCCCGCGUGAAGGAAGAAUGCGCUAUGCGUUGUAAACUUCUUUUCCAGUGGAAUAAUUUGCCAUACGUGUAUGGUAUUGAAUGUACGUUGGGAAUAAGCAUCGGCUAACUCCGUGCCAGCAGCCGCGGUAAUACGGAGGAUGCGAGCGUUAUCCGGAUUUAUUGGGUUUAAAGGGUGCGUAGGCGGGAUGAUAAGUCAGUGGUGAAACCCUGCAGCUUAACUGUAGGCUUGCCGUUGAUACUGUUGUUCUUGAGUAUGGUCAAGGCAGGCGGAAUGUGUAAUGUAGCGGUGAAAUGCUUAGAUAUUACACAGAACACCGAUAGCGAAGGCAGCUUGCUGGGCCUGUACUGACGCUGAUGCACGAAAGCGUGGGGAUCAAACAGG
This 424-nucleotide ribosomal RNA is filed under the name uncultured bacterium. Its description in RNAcentral is "bacterial SSU rRNA". It matches the Rfam family "Bacterial small subunit ribosomal RNA", at positions 355 to 776 of the family's 1533-position model. The record is from RNAcentral.